AUACUGGAAAGUGUCCAUUUGUGUGCAAUGAAGGAAUGCAAAAAAAGAGAACAAGUGGUAAAGUAGGACAUGAGGGAUUAUUAACAGUUAUCUCAAAUACCUUGUAACCUUAUGAACUCAGGCCAUUCUUUUCCUGUUAGAUUGUACGUUUAACCUUUAAAUGGCUUAAAAUCAAAGAGGGAAGCUCAUCCAUUCUUUUUCUCUGUAAGUCUCCUUGAAGGAGUUGGAGAUGAAAUCGUCUUUCUAUUGGAGUUGGCAGUGCUUUGCAGAUGUGUCUUCUCUCUGCUUACCUGUGAAAUGUGCUACCUGGGCUUGAGGUCAAGCUUUUGAAGUUCCUGAAUUGAAUGUGGUGCUCCUUUUAGCCACCACCUUGGAAAUGAUCUUUUUUUUGUUUGUUUGUUUGUUUUGUUUUGUUUUUGCGGUACGCGGGCCGCUCACUGCUGUGCCCUCUCCCAUUGCGGAGCACAGGCUCCGGACGCGCAGGCUCAGCGGCCAUGGCUCACGGACCCAGCCUCUCCGCGGCAUGUGGGAUCCUCCCGGACCGGGGCACGAACCUGCGUCCACUGCAUCGGCAGGCAGACUCUCAACCACUGCGCCACCAGGGAAGCCCACUUGGAAAUGAUCUUAAUUCUUUCUGCUACAACUAAGAAUUUUUCUAAAGUUUGCUCUUAAAAGUUAAAGAAAUUCUUAAUUUUAAAGAAAAAAUUUUAUUGGCUCUUAAAUGUAUUCUCUUUCUUCUUCUUCUUGAGUUGGUAUAGACUUUGACAGUAGUACCUGUGAGUGGUUUUACCUGUUCAGUGCACUGUGAGGGAGUUUAGAAAAUGCUAGUGUCUGAAAAGGAGGAUUUCUCAAAGUUUUAGACACAGCCAUGGGAAAGUGUUCAUAUCCUCAUCUUUAUAACUGUGUCCAUGUCCCAUGGCUUUUAUCUUUUUUCUUUUUAUGUGUCCAUGUUUAUCUUAAAUUAAGUUUUAUAUUAAUCAAAAAAUAUUCCUUUAGUCAACUAUCCCUGUUAAAUCCAAUGGUGAGACUUCUUUGAGGAGACAGGGUUGGUUAGGGCUGCAUAUCUAGAAUUCUCUUUGAUCGAUUAUAUCAUGACUUGGUGAAAUAAUUGUAUAUCACUUUUGCUGUUAAAUGAAAUUGAAGGUAAAUAUAGGAUGAUUGUUAUCAUUACAUCUUGACCUGAUACAUGAUAGAGAAUAGGUUCCUAAGUUUGGCCGUGAUGGUUUUAUAUUCACUGAAGUGAAAAAAUUCUGAAAUGUAGUGUAACUUUAUGAAUGUGAAAUUGUUACAUGUAUUUAAGAACAUUAUUGUGAUUUCAUUUGCCUAAAAAUAUCAGGAGUGGUUCAAAAGAAGAUUGAACUCCUGAAUCCUCUGAAAUUCAGGCCAUGCUGGACGAGGAAACCCCUGAUGUCCUCAGAGUGGAGCUUAAUCUUUCACCCAAAUCAGCUUUUCCUUCAGAGUUUUGACCUAUGACUUAGAAAGAGCUUUUCUCUCCGCUCUGAACCAUAGCUUGCCAGCUUUACAGUGUGAUCCUUGGAGAUGUGGAAAGAGGAAGAGGAAGCAGUCUUUGACCUUUGUCAGUGUAUUCCUGUAGAGCCCACUUCCAGAGUUGGUUUUUUUCCUUUCCUCCUCUCUCCCAUUGUUCUUCUCUCCUGCUUACUUUAUUGCCUUCUUACUCAUUAUCUGGCCAUGUUUCCUCUGAGACAGCAAACGAGCCUGUAAUGAAGGCACUUGCCUUACUAAAGCUCUGAGAAUUGGUUACAUGAGGCCUUUUCCCAAGGGACUCAAUUUUUAAUGUGUUCAUGAUUGGGUUAAUGAAACGGAGCAGGUGACAAAUUUAGUUUAUGGAAGGCCCAUUCAGGACAGCAAGCAUUUAAAAGGGCUGAAAAGACAUACCAGAGAUCCUAAUCAAGCAGUGUGGCUUAGAUGAAAGGUCACAAAUGAAAUUUAAUGUGAAUUAUGCUAGGGUAAUUCGUAUUACGAAAAUAAUUUAGGCACAUGACAUUAUGUUAGCACUGCAUUUUGCUUUUGGAACCUUCCAGGAGUAGUGGAGGCUAUGCUUACUAUUCCUUAUAACAGAGGUUUUAAUGAUUUAUUAAAAAAAAUAAUUAGCUAGACCAUAUAUUAUAAAAAAAAUUUGCCAUGGUAGGGAUGAAGAUAGAGGAAUAAAGAGGGGGGGGAUGCAAAGAUAAGGUGCUGUCACUGCUACCGAACUUCUUUCUCUCCAAGGACCUAUCCAAACACUUUCCAAACAUUUCCAUUUCACAUAAUUCAUACAAUAUCUCCUGUAUUAGUGAAAUUCCAUUGGUAGAACAUUGGCGUCUGCACUCAUAAAACAUGUAUUUUUAUUUACAAGUUAUGUGUAUAUACUAUAUACUCUUAUUAAGCAUAAUAUAAAGCACUUCCAAAACCAGAUUUUAUAAGAGGAGAUAAAGGUAAAAUAAACUUUAUUAUUUAAUUUUUUUAAUACUAUAAAGCCCUUUUAAUCAUGUAACAAAAUUAUAUGAUUUUAGAGAGAGCAAUGUGAUUAAAUAUGCUUCAUUAUUUUUAACCUAAGCUUGCUUCUUUGUGAUACAGGCAUUUGAAGGUUAUAUCUUUUGCCUCAUUAUUUUUUCUUUAUAAUUUAUGUACAGAAAAGUGCACCUGUUUUAAAGUAUGUAGUUUGAUGAGUUUUGGACCAAGUAGUUUAUUUUGAUAUCUGGUUUUAAUAGCUGAUGUCUAAAACACAAGUGAUAGGACACAAUUCAUAAUUAAUGCUAGUGGGUAUAUAAUCCGUUUUUCAAGUCGUUUUCCUGAUGAUUCAGCCUGUGUUGCAUGAUUUGUUUUUGCCCUCUUAUUUUCAGAUCUGAUUAGAUCUUCAAUUUUUACCUAUAACAUAUGGCUGAUUAAGGUAAAUCCAUAGAAGUGUCCGUUUUCUGUUUGUUUGCACGUGCUUAUGUUAUUAGUGCUAUCCUUAAUCCAUGUUUCCUUCGUAGGCAUCUUUUUAAGCCAUUUGUACAUUUGUAAAAGAGUUCAGUUAAACUGAUUUGUACAUCCUCUUAGCCAGGCCCAGGUGUGUUGCAGUCUUUCACCAUAUGCUGGGAGUGAAGAACUGCAUGGAUUUGUCCCUCCAGGCAGAAUCCCCUUUUCUCUCUCCAUGCCUCACAGUUCCAGUAUCAUGUGAUUUAGGGAAUGCACCAGGGAAAAUUCAAACAAGAGACUUUAGGAGAGCUUACUUUAUUUUUAAGGU
Long non-coding RNA from Phocoena sinus (vaquita), 3229 nucleotides. The record is from Ensembl. NCBI's taxonomy places the organism in Eukaryota, Metazoa, Chordata, Mammalia, Artiodactyla, Phocoenidae.